CACUGCGAAGUGGAAGCGAGCCUGCUUAUGGGGGUUUCGCGGGAGGAACGGAGGGACUUAAAGGGAGUUGGAUGAAAAAAGAAAGGUAGAAUCGGCAGAGAAAGAGGGAAUGAGCGGCACGCGGACCGGGCAGGGGUGGCGGACCAAUUAAAUAUGGCGACAGCAGUGGGGUGUGGCGCUUGCGCAUGCGCAACGUCGCUUUCAGCUGGGGGGACAGGAGCCGCGGACAGAACGGGGCAGCGACGAGAAGGAACCGGCCGGCAAGCAGAGGGAUUGGCGAGUACCCGGCAUACGUUUGUGUGGUGCGCGCUGUCUUCGAGAGAUAGGCUUCCAGUGUCGCUCGAAAACUUGUCCGUCGACGUUUGUUCGCUUGCUCACUCGUACGAAGCGUUUCCUCGUUUUCAUUGAAACCGGUCGGAUCUGUGAAAAGUAGUCGAGAUGACGAUGGCAACGGAGACAGAGAACACUGGACCGGAGAGUAAGGAGAUUAAAGAUGUGAAAGAGAUGAAAGAGGCGCUGAAGGACGAAACGCCGCCGGACAAUAAGCAAGAGGAGAAAGAUGCAGCGAAAAAGGAAGAAAGUGGUAAAAAAGAAGAGACCGCUGACGCUGCGGCCGCUACGCCAUCCUCGGCACCGACCAAGGCUAUCAGCGUGCGUAAGGCCAACUACGAGAAAGAUAUUGUUUAUCUGUAUCAGUUCUCCCGAAUACCUCUUCUGCCCUCUAUCUCACAGUAUUGUCUCAAGGUGGAGACAUGGUUGCGACUUAAUGGCAUCAAAUACGAGAAUGUGGAUCAUAAGAUGAAGUUCCGCUCCAAGAAAGGCGGGUUGCCGUUUGUCGAACUGAACGGCGAAGAAAUUGCGGACAGUACGAUCAUUCUUCGCGAGUUGAGUCAAAAGUUCGGCAAGGACCUGGAUGCCUCCCUUACGUCUGAGCAACGAAGCGUUUCUCAUGCAAUGAUAUCGAUGAUCGAAAACCACCUAGUUUGGGUAGUCAUGUGCUGGCGCAUCAAGAAUCUGGAUCAGGUUCUGAAGGGUUACAAGGUGAACCUUCAGCACGUGCUCGGCACUCGUAUUCCCAAUGGCAUUCUCAACUUUUUCUUCAAGCUUACGUUUGGACGUAAGGGUGCAAAGAAAGUAAAGGCGCAGGGUAUGGGUGUGUAUUCUCCAGAAGAAGUGUCCCAAUUUGGUUGCGCCGAUCUCAAGGUUCUUUCCGACAUGCUUGCUGACAAACCCUUCUUUUUCGGGGACGAACCGACUAUGUUGGAUGUGGUGACAUUCGCGCAUCUUGCCCAAAUUCUCUACAUCGACAAAGACACGCCGUACAGUCUGCGGGACUAUAUGCAGGAGAAUUGUCCAAACUUGGUGGGGCACUGCUCGCGCAUGAAGGAGCGAUGCUUCCCGGAUUGGGAUGAGAUCUGCUCCACCCUUGACAUGAACACGCAUUUACCGAAACCGGAGAAACAGGAGGAGAAGGAAGGCAAAGAGGAUGUAAAGGAGUCGAAGGAAUCAAAAGAGGAAAAGGAGGGUGACAAGGAAAAGGCGGAUAAAGAAGAGAAAGAGCUGGAAAAGGACAAGGAGAUAGAUGAGAACAAAGAAAAGGAAAAGGAAGGGAAAUAAGCUGUCUCGAGAGGACAUGAAGCAAAUAAGUCGUUCAAGAAAAGGGAAAAAUGGAAAAAGAAGAUUCAAAACUGAAGAAAAUUGGGGGUGUGAUCUGGUGAGAUAUAAAGAGGGGGGAGGGGGGUUGAGAAAGAAAAGCAAGGGUGGGUGGAAGAAUGCGUGUGUAUGUGUGCGUGUGUGAAAGCUAUCGUGUGAAUGAUUGAUAGCAAGAAGUAGAAAAGGAGAAAAAAUGCGUGUGUGAAAGAAAGAGAGAGAGAAAGAAUGUGCGUAUGUGUGUAGAAAGCAUGAGUAAUAAAGAAGGAGGGGUUAGACUGUGCGUGAAAGAGCGAGCGAGAGAAUCAACGAGUGUAAGAAAAAAAGGGUAGGGGGAUUUCAGGUUUAGAGCUCUCUACUUAUACGUAUAGAUAUUAAUAGAUUCAUAAUGUUAAAUACUUCGUUUAUAUACGUUCGUAACACGUUACGCCAUUUCUCAUCGACACCCCAGCACACCCGAAUCGAACAACAAACUUUAUUAUUAUAUUCGACCCAGGGCCCUUUUUCCCCCCACGAAAAGUAAUAUAAGAUAGAUAAAGCGAGAAGAAUAAUAACAGAACGGGGCUAUCUCAUAAGUCAUUAGAAUAUCGUAGGUUUGCAAUAUAUCAAAUGCAAUAGCCUGACACAUUCAGGUGUGUGAGAGAUCUUCAAUGAACAGUGGCCAAAAUGAAUGCAUCGUACCAUCGUGCAAACAGACAUGAUGUGUGUUGUAUACGAUGCAGUUUAAUGCAAUGGAGCGAGAUCAUUUAUGGUUACGAUACACGACGAUAGAUAGCACCCCUGACACUGAUUCAGGGAGAAGGCGUCUUGCGGUCGUUUCUUACACCAUUGGCUCUUACUGUGCAAAAUGAGUUACGUACCUAGCGUUCCAGCAACGUACCGUAUAUCACAUUGUGAUCUUCGUUUGAUCGUAUUCUUUAAUUGCAUAUACGUUCGUAAUUUUAGAAUUACUAUUCGGUACACAAACUUUUAUUCCUUUUAAUCAUUGGUUUCAGACAAUCAGACUUCAUUUGAAUUAUCAUUUGAUAGGUGAUAUAGUUUCCUUUCUGAUACAUUUGAAUGCACGAGUGAUUUCUGAAAAAUCGUUUUUCACGCAACAGUAAUCAGAGAUCAAGUAUCGAAUCGUCAUAUGUGUCAGAAAGAAGGACGAUGUCUAUGACUUUACCUUGAAUUUUCAUACUUUUUAUAUUUCUUUGUAUGACUCAUUUCGAGUAAAAUGUUCUCGUGCCCACAUACGUCGAAUUACGUACUUUUUACAAUUUAUUGACAACGUCCCUCCGACGAACGAAGAAUCAUCAGCGAUUACGGAUCGGACAGUAAAUGAUGAUAUUUACGAUAAUUUGUAUAUUAUUAGAGAUAUUCGUAUCGCGUUCACACGGAUGCAAUCCGAGUGACGGCGUCGCCGGAAGCGGAAACGGCGCUGUCGUCACGUCUUAAAGUCGUUUAGGCGCUUUGUUUCUUCUUUUUCUUUCGUCGAGACAAAAAAAAAGAUACAAAUAAAAAAUAAAGAAACUCGAAAAGAGGCACAGGCAACAUUAAUCUUCUCUGUCUGGGUUUCUUUUCGAUAUUCGAAAACGAAACAAAAAUAAAAAAGAAAAAGAAAAACGAACGAAACGCUGUGCUGCCCCCGUGUGUUAGUUCAACUUUAUUAGAUGACUUUUUUCUUCGGAUGUGUGAGAAAAAUUUUACAUAACGAAGUAAAAGAAAAAAUACAAAAAAGUGUCUUUCACGCAUCGAAAUGAAGAAAAAAAAAACACAUAAACAUACACAACACACACACGUACAGACAUUUUGAUGUAUAAUGUUAUAUCGAACGGGAAUUGAAUGUUUUUUGUACGAGGCCGACUUUUAAUAAAACGUUGGCCAGAAAAAUAAUUCCACGAAGACACGAGGUUAAUAUAAUUAAUAUUUAAGUAGUUUACUAUAAUUAAACGACGAUUACGAUUACAUAAAGGACAAAUGGAAAAAACAAGUAAGUUAACAAUUAGUGUGUGGAAGCUGUUUAUACCUUAGGACAACGCAUACGUUUACACCCGUGGUUACAUUAUUAUUAUUAUUAAUUAUUAUGGAUUAUUACGAGUACGAGUAAAGUAAUAAAUAAUUAAAGAUUAGUGACGAGGAAAGGAAAGAAAAAAAAAGAAGUAAUAAGAAACACUUGGACAAGACCAUAAACGUUGCAAGCACAGUAGAACCGUCGAAUUUCUGGUUAACAAAGAACGCUGUCUGUGCAAGAUACAUCGGUUAAGGGGAAACGAUUACCUCAAUAGAGAGGAACCUCAUCGUAG
This 3935-nucleotide unclassified non-coding RNA is filed under the name Eufriesea mexicana. RNAcentral's name for it is "failed axon connections, transcript variant X2". The record is from RNAcentral. Lineage: Eukaryota; Metazoa; Arthropoda; Insecta; Hymenoptera; Apidae.